Molecule: long non-coding RNA, 2952 nt
Organism: Xiphophorus couchianus (Monterrey platyfish)
Lineage: Eukaryota; Metazoa; Chordata; Actinopteri; Cyprinodontiformes; Poeciliidae
Exons: 2
Source: RefSeq, a predicted model, not a curated record
AGGAGGAAGAUGGGGAGGAGGAGGAGAGGAGUGCUAUCCUGUCAAACGGUGCAGGAAGGGAGAUUAUUGGUGUUCUUUUUUUCGUUGUUUUUUUUGGGAGGGGCGGGGGAUGAAGCGGCCUUCUUGUCCUACAGAGCAUCUAUAAGUUUCUGAUCGUGGCAAUCUGAAGUUCCCACUGCAGGCAAAUAAAGCUGUGAUAAAAAAGCCAGUGUCAGAAAAUCCAAAGAAGGCAGAACCAAAUUAUGAAAAGUCAUUUCGAAUUGUGACUAUUCUUAAGAGAGAUGGAAUCUUGCUUCCCUUUUACUCCUAUCUCCUGUAUGAAAAGCAGGGAUCUAUUUACCUGACCUCUUCCUCUAUGUCCCAUGGCUAUCUGACCUCUCUGCUCUCCCACCCUAACAGCCCUCCCCUCCUCUUCAUUUGUAGAUGGAGUUUCUCUCCCUACUUGGUGAUUAAUUCUAUCAAAGCCGGCCCCAUUUUUGAUUCUCUCAUCAAUAAAUAAAUCCGUAAUCCCACAGAUGCUGACAAUAGUGAACCCCCUUUUUAUUUGAGUUCUACCUGCUCCGAAAAAUAAUAAUAGAAAAAAAAAAGACACACAACCCCUCCACCAACAACUCAGAUCAGCCUUUUUCUCCCAGCCAGACCCAACUCUCUCCCCAUUAUCCUCUUGGCUGUUUGCAAGGGGGUUUCCUCUCUUUCUUUUUUAUCUCUGUACUCACUCCAUGACCCCUGUUCCCCUGUUUCUUGCUGUCUGACCUAACCCCCCACCCCCACAUCCACACCCCUUGCACUCCCCGCAAACACACUCACAACUGCCACCCCACCACCACCUCACUCCCCUCAGCCUUCAGCUUUUACCCCAACAGUACCACUGUCUCUGUUCAUCGCAAGAAAAGGAAAAAAAAAAAAUGUUUCACCCUUUUUUCUCGUUUUUCUCUGGGAUAAAACCCCCCCUAAUAAUCAUCGUUCUACUUUUUUUUUUGUUAAUCUGACUGUACUUCGAACCCUCCUUUCCAAAAAUGAUGUUUUAGUAUUACAUUUAUGCCGAUUUUUGCAUUUUAAUUACUUAUUUUUUCUAAUUAUUUUGUGAGGUUAUUGUCAAAAAAGGCCUCUUUCCCACUGCAGCCAGGUUUUUUUCCCCCAUUGCAUUUGUUCUGAUUUUGCGUAUUUUGGCAUUUUAUUCUAUUUUGAAUAUUUUUUUAGAUAAACUGAUGCUGUAACUAAACGCCACCCGCGGAUGCAGCUUGGACCGCCAUCUAAGUUUCCGAUGGUUACUUUGCAUUAAUUCUAACAUCCUAAGAUCAGAUGUAAAGGGCAGUAUUUUCUCUCCACGAGAAAGAAAUAUUCCCUUGAAAGUCAGAGUCGGUAGCCGAGUAUAGUUCGAGGGAGCAAAGCCAGCCUCCCUGUCUCUUCCCUGAACCCACAUGUCUGAUCCCUCGUCACGCAGCUCCCACUCGCAGCCUGUCCGUGUGCGGGGUCCUGCUGAUCCGCUCUUGUCACGCAGGAGACCCGGUGCUCCGUUUUUUCUCCCAACCCCAUCAACAACACCAACACCACAUUCAACUCAACGCCGAGCCCCCCUGAUGCACGCACGCACGCACGCACACGCAUACACACACACACGCACGCUUGUCAAUCGAUCUGCAUGUGACUUCGUCAGUGAAUGAGCGAGAAUCGAGUGAAAAACAUCACCGAAAGGAGGCAAACAGCUGUUGUAAAAUAAAAAAAGGGGCUAAAACACGGAGAAAGUGUUUGGGGGGAAAAAGUGUGCGGCUGACGGAGCUGAGGCUGGGCGGAGGGAUUGCACAUUUCACACAAGAGACGUUGUCGGAGAAGAACAAAACUGUCCUCAGCCAGAAGAGGAUUUUAUUAGAAAUCGACGGUGGCGAAACUCUCUGGAUGUGGAAAGUGUCAAAUCUGUUCAGAAAAACAGAGCAGAAAGCGAAAGAUGCUCCCCCUGUUUUCCCGGACGCCCACGGACCCACAGGCUGGACUUGGAGCUCCUUCCCUGGGCUGCGCUCAUGUGGAGCUGCCGCUGCCCCUCGUCCGCUCUGCACAGCUUUCCCCCCCACCACCACCUCCUUGUUGCAUUUGUGCUUUAAAACACGUCUCUUAACAACCAUUAGCCCUCCAUACCCAUUUCCCCGAUCCCACCGCAGAAAACAAAACACGAAUCUGUUUUUAAAACCGUGUUUUUCUACGAUCAACUGCUCUGGAGCGGAUCGCUGUCUUGCCCGUUUCUUAUCUUCCAUUCAUGAGAGGAGGAGAGGACGGAACGCUCAUGUAAACACAGAACAAGAGGUUAUAAUAAAGAACAAGAAACACAACUCAGACCAAAGAGUGCCUCUAAUUAUUAGACGUAAGUUGUAGGUUGUAUUGAUUUAGAGCUAUAAAAUGCUAAAAUUCAAGCUCUUCUCAUAUUUAUUAAAAUAAUAAAAUUUUGCCUUUAAAAUGAAGAAUUAGGUACAUUUUUAAAGGGAUGAUAAAAGCGUCUAUGAUUUACCUUUUACUCUCAGCUCACAGCACACGCAGAUUUUUGUUGCUUCACAACACACUUCUAGAAAGGAAAUAUCUCGCAGAUCUGACGGAGUAGAGCACAAUUUGAAAUAUUUGCUUUCAUUCAAAAAGUGAAAAAAAGAAAUCACCAGAGCUGCUUGCAUUUGUACAGUAUGUCUGCAACUUCAGCUCGUCUCUGAAAUACCUGCUUAAGCUUCAGUGCAUUUUUCCCCCCCAUAAACGUGUUCAUGUUUCAAAUCAAAAUUAAGAAGAUGUGUGUAGCAAUAUUUUCAAAAGUAUGAAUAGAUUUGUUCUUACCAAGCACACCAGUGAAAGAAAGACUUGUGAGUGUAGGUGUGAUGAACCAGCAUGCCAUUGUGACAUCUGUUACCAAACUUGUGGGAACACGUUGUCAAUACGUGUGGGUUCAUGUAAAUAACAAUAAUAACUGUAAAAAAA